GAUAAACAGGUUCUCGUACGAUCACUGAAGUUAAGCAACGUCGAGCCUUGUCAGUGCCUAGAUGGGUGACCACUAGGGAAUACCAGGUGUUGUAA
Molecule: non-coding RNA, 95 nt
Organism: Acanthosepion pharaonis
Lineage: Eukaryota; Metazoa; Mollusca; Cephalopoda; Sepiida; Sepiidae
Source: the annotation of a GenBank genome assembly